Long non-coding RNA from Daktulosphaira vitifoliae (grape phylloxera), 1704 nucleotides. RefSeq lists it as uncharacterized. The transcript has 4 exons. NCBI's taxonomy places the organism in Eukaryota, Metazoa, Arthropoda, Insecta, Hemiptera, Phylloxeridae. The record is from RefSeq and is a predicted model, not a curated record.
AAUCUAGAACUCUUGGACGUUGGCGAAAGGACUGUAGUGCAAAUGAUAUUUCUAUGGAUGUUGCAACGAGUAAAGCUGGAAAGACGAGUGCCGAAUGUUUUUCUUUCAAACUGCCGCUGUCCGCUGUAGUCGACACUUCGUCUAAAAAAGUGUUAUUAUAAGACCUAAGGCGCAUAGAACAUAAACGCGAUUAAACGCACAUUUUUUACUCAUAUAUGGCAGUAUUGGUAAUCUUUAUAAUAAUCAAUUAUAAUUAAAGAAUACAUUUUUUUUGGAUUUCAUUUGGUUUAUCACGCCUAAUAAACUCGUUAUGAAUAUGUAGAUGGUAAAACUUAUUAAGUCAUCACUAUGAAAAAAACUGCCAAAACUAUUGACAUUGAGAUGGAAACUUGUAUGUGAUAAAUUGAAAAACGAAAUAUACAGAAAUGUGUUCAUAUUGUUCGUUCAAGAAUUUUAACUACUAAACGCUCACCGACAAAGAAGUAUUAAUUAAACAGCUUAGGUAUUGAAAGGAGUAACGAGUGUUUAUGGCGGGUAGAAUUAUUAAUGGAUUUCAGUUACUAGAGUUUGUCGUGAAUACUUUAUAGCAUAACGAGCGUGAAAUCUAUUUUCUGUACUUUCAAAACGCAUAUUCCUUAAAUAUUUCUUCAUUCAACAAAUUAAUGCUGUUAUUCUUAUCAACAUAUUUGUAAAAAAUAAGUGUUUUUGUAGGUGACCCGAUCGUAGCUAUACGUGCGGUGCAUCAAGCCCGAGUUAGCCAUUAGCAAUUACCUGAUUUGUUGGGCUGCAUUGAAGUCUAGUGGUAACGGUUGCGAAAAAAAUACAUACGUUUGGUCAGCGUUAGACGAUCCGACCUAUGAACUCAAUCAAUUACUUUGGAAAUGUGUGGAUAUCAGCACAAAUUAAGAAAAAAAAGUAAACUGUAAUAUUAUUCGCGUAAACGCAUAUUAUGUAAAUAUCUCUUGAAAUAUUCGAUGAACACUCGCUGCUAUUUUAUUCUCAGUUGCAUAACUUUUUUGUUUUAAGGAAAAUAUGAAUUAUAAUUGCCUAUUUGCAACGCCUAUGGGGAUUUAAUUUUUGUGACGAAAUUAAGAUACUGACCAAUAUACAAAAAAUAUAUAAACCAAUGAUGUACGACUGCAUAAUUGCACAAUUCCAGCGUCAUAAAAAUUAUUAGACCAUCUUUCCAGAAAACGUUCUGGUUGAGAUGCAAUUAUUUCAUAGCUAAUUUAAAAGUGCACUAGUCGAGUGUAAUAUGUAAUUAGCUAUCGGCUUUAGAUAAUGAGUACAUGAAAGUGUCGGUACACAUGCUAACAUAGUACAUACGUGUGUCUGUACACUUAUCGAGAUUAACUCACACGUGGACAUAACAUUGUGAUGCGAGAGACAUUUUGUAUUGAUGUUUUCUUGGUAAAAAUUUAUUAUACUAACUGCGUAGCUCCUCAGAAACAUAUGCCGCGGCAGUACGGCUUAUAUCAUUUGAUCGUGUCGGUUGUAGGAUAAAAAAUAGCAUUAAAAUAGGUAACCCAGCGGCUUCCACAAAGAAGAAACGUGACUAUGAUUGCAUUACUGGAAACUGGAAAGUGUUAAAACAUAAUUAUGACAAAUUAUGAAUUAUAAGAUAUUACUAAGACACCAGUAGCAAAUUUUAAUCAAAAAAUCUCAUCAAAACUAUUAUUUAUAUCUAUCUUAUAUCAUUUUAAU